GUGAAUCGUCGAAUUUUUGAACGCAAAUUGCGCCUUCUUUCGGGAGGCAUGUCUGUUUGAUUGCACCAUUUAACAAAUAAUGUGCGCGUCGUCUGUGCAUACUAGCGGCGUGCACACGUUGAUGAGCUUUUCCGAGAAAACCAGGAUUUUUCGGUGGCGCAUAAUGAACAUCGUGGGCUUUUUCUUUCGGUUAUCGUCUCGUAAGUAAAUUUCGACGCCUGGGUCGGGAAAAAG
This 234-nucleotide unclassified non-coding RNA is filed under the name Paraglomus occultum. RNAcentral describes it as "partial contains 5.8S ribosomal RNA and internal transcribed spacer 2". The stretch from base 1 to 66 matches the Rfam family "5.8S ribosomal RNA", at positions 84 to 154 of the family's 154-position model. The record is from RNAcentral. Lineage: Eukaryota; Fungi; Glomeromycota; Glomeromycetes; Paraglomerales; Paraglomeraceae.